This 429-nucleotide ribosomal RNA is filed under the name Bacteroidota bacterium. Its description in RNAcentral is "Bacteroidetes bacterium partial 16S ribosomal RNA". It matches the Rfam family "Bacterial small subunit ribosomal RNA", at positions 355 to 776 of the family's 1533-position model. The record is from RNAcentral. Lineage: Bacteria; Pseudomonadati; Bacteroidota.
UAGGGAAUCUUCCGCAAUGGACGCAAGUCUGACGGAGCAACGCCGCGUGAGUGAAGAAGGAUUUCGGUUCGUAAAACUCUGUUGUUAGAGAAGAACAGCGCAUAGAGUAACUGUUAUGCGUGUGACGGUAUCUAACCAGAAAGCCACGGCUAACUACGUGCCAGCAGCCGCGGUAAUACGUAGGUGGCAAGCGUUGUCCGGAUUUAUUGGGCGUAAAGCGAGCGCAGGCGGUCAAUUAAGUCUGAUGUGAAAGCCCCCGGCUCAACCGGGGAGGGUCAUUGGAAACUGGUUGACUUGAGUGCAGAAGAGGAGAGUGGAAUUCCAUGUGUCACGGUGAAAUGCGUAGAUAUAUGGAGGAACACCAGUGGCGAACGCGACUCUCUGGUCUGUAACUGAAGCUGAGGCUCGAAAGCGUGGGUAGCAAACAGG